GAAAAUUAUCCUCCGAGCCGAACGAGACACAUCUCAUACCUCUUAACCAAGAGCCACAACUCUAAGUAAUAGAACCUCUAACGGAAUAUGAUCCAAACUAAUUGAUCAACGAACCA
RNAcentral lists this ribosomal RNA (116 nucleotides) under Leiopelma markhami. RNAcentral's name for it is "partial 16S ribosomal RNA". The record is from RNAcentral. Lineage: Eukaryota; Metazoa; Chordata; Amphibia; Anura; Leiopelmatidae.